UACGUAGGUGGCAAGCGUUGUCCGGAUUUACUGGGCGUAAAGAGCGCGCAGGCGGUCGGCCAAGUCGAGUGUGAAAGCCCCCGGCUCAACUGGGGAGGGUCAUUCGAUACUGGUCGACUCGAAGGCAGGAGAGGGAAGCGGAAUUCCCGGUGUAGUGGUGAAAUGCGUAGAUAUCGGGAGGAACACCAGUGGCGAAGGCGGCUUCCUGGCCUGUUCUUGACGCUGAGGCGCGAAAGCUAGGGGAGCAAACAGG
RNAcentral lists this ribosomal RNA (253 nucleotides) under uncultured bacterium. Its description in RNAcentral is "partial 16S ribosomal RNA". It matches the Rfam family "Bacterial small subunit ribosomal RNA", at positions 524 to 776 of the family's 1533-position model. The record is from RNAcentral.